UUAAGUAGUUGUGCCGCAGGUAA
RNAcentral lists this microRNA (23 nucleotides) under Limulus polyphemus (Atlantic horseshoe crab). RNAcentral describes it as "Lpo-Mir-252-P1f_5p (mature (guide))". The record is from RNAcentral. Lineage: Eukaryota; Metazoa; Arthropoda; Merostomata; Xiphosura; Limulidae.